This 395-nucleotide ribosomal RNA is filed under the name uncultured bacterium. Its description in RNAcentral is "partial 16S ribosomal RNA". It matches the Rfam family "Bacterial small subunit ribosomal RNA", at positions 523 to 918 of the family's 1533-position model. The record is from RNAcentral.
AUACGUAGGUGGCAAGCGUUGUCCGGAAUUACUGGGCGUAAAGCGUGCGCAGGCGGUUUUGUAAGACAGUGGUGAAAUCCCCGGGCUCAACCUGGGAACUGCCAUUGUGACUGCAAGGCUGGAGUGCGGCAGAGGGGGAUGGAAUUCCGCGUGUAGCAGUGAAAUGCGUAGAUAUGCGGAGGAACACCGAUGGCGAAGGCAAUCCCCUGGGCCUGCACUGACGCUCAUGCACGAAAGCGUGGGGAGCAAACAGGAUUAGAUACCCUGGUAGUCCACGCCCUAAACGAUGUCAACUGGUUGUUGGGGAUUUAUUUUCUCAGUAACGAAGCUAACGCGUGAAGUUGACCGCCUGGGGAGUACGGCCGCAAGGUUAAAACUCAAAUGAAUUGACGGGG